CACUGCCGAGAAAAGCCUCUAGAUAGAAAAUAGGUGCCCGUACCGCAAACCGACACAGGUAGUCAAGAUGAGAAUUCUAAGGUGAGCGAGCGAACUCUCGUUAAGGAACUCGGCAAAAUGACCCCGUAACUUCGGGAGAAGGGGUGCUCUUUAGGGUUAACGCCCAGAAGAGCCGCAGUGAAUAGGCCCAAGCGACUGUUUAUCAAAAACACAGGUCUCUGCUAAACCGUAAGGUGAUGUAUAGGGGCUGACGCCUGCCCGGUGCUGGAAGGUUAAGAGGAGUGGUUAGCUUCUGCGAAGCUACGAAUCGAAGCCCCAGUAAACGGCGGCCGUAACUAUAACGGUCCUAAGGUAGCGAAAUUCCUUGUCGGGUAAGUUCCGACCCGCACGAAAGGCGUAACGAUUUGGGCACUGUCUCAACGAGAGACUCGGUGAAAUCAUAGUACCUGUGAAGAUGCAGGUUACCCGCGACAGGACGGAAAGACCCCGUGGAGCUUUACUGUAGC
Molecule: ribosomal RNA, 506 nt
Filed under: Staphylococcus aureus
Lineage: Bacteria; Bacillati; Bacillota; Bacilli; Caryophanales; Staphylococcaceae
Description: partial 23S ribosomal RNA
Rfam family: Bacterial large subunit ribosomal RNA
Source: RNAcentral